UCAGUUUCUCUCUUGAUGUAUGUUUUUAGUACUCUAUUGUUAAAUUGGAAGUCGUUCAUAAAUCACGUCAAUGGAAUAGAUCGUUAUUUAUAGGGGAGAGAUCCUAGACUUUGUGUGGGCUCGGGUGAAGAUGAGACAAGGUAGGGCAGAGAAGGCCAGAGACAAAGAGGAUCGCAAAGAAUAGUUUGGCUGAGGAGUAGGCACUGUGCAGAGCGGUGGUGUGCGAAGACCAGCAGUGCAGAGGAGUUCGGCGGUGUGAGGCUAGGUGGCAGACGACGUGGAGGACUGCGACUUUGGGUCGUGGAGCACAGAAUACGGACGACGUGGAGGCUUUCUCUCAGCACCUAAAACGUUCUAAUCUUAAAAUAAAUAAAUCCAAAUUUUAUCUGAGAGCCGAAUGUGUUGCAGAAACCAAACCACUUGGGGAAAGGCUUCUGUGCUCGCUGGAACUAAAAGCUGAACCCUCGCCCUUCACCGUACCGCGGUCACAAGAAUCCUCUAUGACGCUGUUAGACGGGACCCCGACCAGCUUUCCUCCGAGACCGGUCCUUUCCUUGAGAUCUUGUUCCAGUAAUCAGUUCAGGAGCUACAUUCCUUGCAACCGGUGGAUCAGAUAGUGGAAUCCAGCGAGGAACCGAGCUCUUUAGAUUAAGAGGUUACUGACAGCUUUCCCACCUGAUUAUAGCGAUGGAGGAAGUUAAAGAUUUUGUGAUUGGUGACAAAUAUAUUGCAGAUAUGAUAAAACCAAUUAGAAAGCCAUUUGAUGAAAUGGAGUCUCAUAGAGAAUGUUUUUCGCAAGACAAAUGUCUAUUGGAGGACGUCAAGCAACAUUUCUGUAACAUCAAGACAUCACUACAGAAGAAUUUGAUGAAUUAGGAACCAAGUAGAGAGCAUUUGAAGAAAAGAAAUAAGAGUAUCAGACAUUGCUUGCAGAAAGGGAGGCAGUUGAUACAACAAAGGAAAGGGCCAUGAGCUGAAAGAUGCUCCUGUUUCUGCUAUACUCGGGGCACAACACAAGAAAUGCAAGGCAUCCCUGGAAAAC
Long non-coding RNA from Phalaenopsis equestris, 1042 nucleotides. RefSeq lists it as uncharacterized. The record is from RefSeq and is a predicted model, not a curated record. Lineage: Eukaryota; Viridiplantae; Streptophyta; Magnoliopsida; Asparagales; Orchidaceae. The transcript is spliced from 3 exons.